RNAcentral lists this ribosomal RNA (645 nucleotides) under uncultured fungus. Its description in RNAcentral is "eukaryotic LSU rRNA". The stretch from base 244 to 397 matches the Rfam family "5.8S ribosomal RNA". The record is from RNAcentral. Lineage: Eukaryota; Fungi.
AGUAAAAGUCGUAACAAGGUUUCCGUAGGUGAACCUGCGGAAGGAUCAUUAUCGAGUUUUGAAAGGAGUUGUUGCUGGCCCUAACCGGGCAUGUGCACGCUCUGCUCAUCCACUCUCAACCUCUGUGCACUUAUUGUAGGUCAGUGAAAGGCUUUGCACCUCGGUGCUUGGCUGGAAGCCUUCCUAUGUUUACCACAAACGAUUUAGUUAUAGAAUGUCUUCUGCGUAUAACGCAUUAUAUACAACUUUCAGCAACGGAUCUCUUGGCUCUCGCAUCGAUGAAGAACGCAGCGAAAUGCGGUAAGUAAUGUGAAUUGCAGAAUUCAGUGAAUCAUCGAAUCUUUGAACGCACCUUGCGCUCCUUGGUAUUCCGAGGAGCAUGCCUGUUUGAGUCUCGUGGAAUUCUCAACCUUCGACUUUGUUGUCGAGGGCUUGGACUUGGAGGUCGUGCCGGCUCUCGUAGUCGGCUCCUCUGAAAUGCAUCAGUGCGAACGUUACCAGCCGCUUCAGCGCGAUAAUUAUUUGCGCUGCUGUGGAGGGUAUGUCAGUGUUCAUGCUUCGAACCGUCUUCGGACAACAUUUCAUCUCUGAGCUCAAAUCAGGUAGGACUACCCGCUGAACUUAAGCAUAUCAAUAAGCGGAGGA